RNAcentral lists this ribosomal RNA (460 nucleotides) under uncultured bacterium. RNAcentral's name for it is "partial 16S ribosomal RNA". It matches the Rfam family "Bacterial small subunit ribosomal RNA", at positions 338 to 795 of the family's 1533-position model. The record is from RNAcentral.
CCUACGGGUGGCAGCAGUGAGGAAUAUUGGUCAAUGGACGAGAGUCUGAACCAGCCAAGUAGCGUGAAGGAUGACUGCCCUACGGGUUGUAAACUUCUUUUAUAUGGGAAUAAAAUAGGUUAUGCAUACCCUAUUGUAUGUACCAUAUGAAUAAGGAUCGGCUAACUCCGUGCCAGCAGCCGCGGUAAUACGGAGGAUCCGAGCGUUAUCCGGAUUGAUUGGGUUUAAAGGGAGCGUAGGUGGUUUGUUAAGUCAGUUGUGAAAUAUUGCGGCUCAACAGUAAAAUUGCAGUUGAUACUGGCAGUCUAGAGUACGGUAGAGGUAGGCGGAAUGCGUGGUGUAGCGGUGAAAUGCAUAGAUAUCACGAAGAACACCGAUUGCGAAGGCAGCUCGCUAGGCUGCAACUGACACUGAUGCACGAAAGUGUGGGUAUCGAACAGGAUUAGAUACCCCAGUAGUC